RNAcentral lists this ribosomal RNA (497 nucleotides) under uncultured bacterium. Its description in RNAcentral is "partial 16S ribosomal RNA". It matches the Rfam family "Bacterial small subunit ribosomal RNA", at positions 28 to 507 of the family's 1533-position model. The record is from RNAcentral.
GAUGAACGCUGGCGGCGUGCCUAAUACAUGCAAGUCGAGCGAACAGAUGAGGAGCUUGCUCCUCUGACGUUAGCGGCGGACGGGUGAGUAACACGUGGAUAACCUACCUAUAAGACUGGGAUAACUUCGGGAAACCGGAGCUAAUACCGGAUAAUAUAUUGAACCGCAUGGUUCAAUAGUGAAAGACGGUUUUGCUGUCACUUAUAGAUGGAUCCGCGCCGCAUUAGCUAGUUGUUAAGGUAACGGCUUACCAAGGCAACGAUGCGUAGCCGACCUGAGAGGGUGAUCGGCCACACUGGAACUGAGACACGGUCAAGACUCCUACGGGAGGCAGCAGUAGGGAAUCUUACGCAAUGGGCGAAAGCCUGACGGAGCAACGCCGCGUGAGUGAUGAAGGUCUUCGGAUCGUAAAAAUCUGUUAUUAGGGAAGAACAAAUGUGUAAGUAAAUAUGCACGUCUUGACGGUACCUAAUCAGAAAGCCACGGCUAACUACGUG